RNAcentral lists this long non-coding RNA (1459 nucleotides) under Homo sapiens (human). Its description in RNAcentral is "HSALNT0319564". Lineage: Eukaryota; Metazoa; Chordata; Mammalia; Primates; Hominidae. The record is from RNAcentral.
GAUAUUUUAAGUACAGUAUAUAAUACAUACUUUGGGUACUUUGAUAUUUUAUGUACAGUAUAUAAUACAUACUUUGGGUACUUUGAUAUAUUAUGUACAGUAUAUAAUACACACUUUGGGUACUUUGAUAUUUUAUGUACAGUAUAUAAUACAUACUUUGGGUACUUUGAUAUUUUAUGUACAGUAUAUAAUACAUACUUUGGGUACUUUGAUAUUUUAUGUACAGUAUAUAAUACAUACUUUGGUUACUUUCAUAUUUUAUGUACAGUAUAUAAUAUGUACUUUGUGUACUUUGAUAUUUUUUCUACAGCAUAUAAUACAUACUUUGGGUACUUUGAUAUUUUAUGUACAGUAUAUAAUACACACUUUGGGUAUUUUGAUGUUUUAUGUACAGUAUAUAAUACAUAAUUUGUGUACUUUGAUAUAUUAUGUACUGUAUAUAAUACAUACUUUGGGUACUUUGAUAUUUUAUGUCCAGUAUAUAAUACAUACUUUGGAUACUUUGGUGCACAUUUGCAGCGCUUUGAGGCCUAUGGUGAAAAAGGAAAUAUCUUCUCAUAAAAAAGAGAAGCAAGCAUUCUCAGAAACUUCUUUUUGAUUUGUGUACUCAAGUAACAGAGUUGAACCUUCCUUUUGACAGAGCAGUUUUGAAACACUCUUUUGGUAGAAUCUGCAAGUGGAUAUCUGGAUAGCUUUGAGGAUUUCGUUGGAAACGGGUUAUCUUCAUAUAAAAUCCAGACAGGAGCAUUCUCAGAAACUUCUUUGUGCUGUAUGUCCUCAAUUCACAGAGCUGAACCUUUGUUUGGAUACAGCAUUUUGGAAACAUUCCUUUAGUAGAAUCUGCAAGUUGAUAUUUAGAUAGCGUUGAAGAUUUCGUUGGAAACGGGAAUAUCUUCAUAGAAAAUCUAGACGGAAGCAUUCUCAUAAACUGCUUUGUGAUGUUUGCAUUCAAGUCACAGAGUUGAAUAUUCCCUUUUAUAGAGUAGGUUGGAAACAUUCUUUCGGCACUACCUGGAAGUGGAUAUUUCGAGCUCUUUGAGGCCUAUGUUUAAAAGGAAAUAUCUUCCCAUAAAAACUAGACAGAAGCCGUCUCAGAAACUUGUUUGUGAUGUGUGUAUUCAACUAACAGAGUUGAACAUUUCUGUUACAGAGCAAUUUUAAACACUCUUUUUGUGGAAUCUGAAAGUGGAUAAUUGGAUAGCUUUGUGGAUUACGUUGGAAACGGGAUUACGUAUAAAAUCUAGAGAGAAGCAUUCUCAGGAACUUCUUUCUGAUGUUUGCAUUCAAGUCACAGAAUUGAACAUUCCUUUUCACAGUGCAGGUUUGAAACACUCUUUCUGUAGUAUCUGGAAGUGGACAUUUCAAGCGCUUUCAGGCCUAUGGGGAGAAAGGAAAUAUCUUCAAAUAAAAACUAGACAGAAGACUUCUCAGAAACUUAUUUGUGAUGUGUGCCCUAAAC